AAAAAAACAAACCCUAGAUUUACGUGUCCAACGUUUGACUGUCCGUCUUAUAUGAAAUUUUUUGAUAAUUAGUAUUUUUAUUGUUGUUAGAUAAUAAAACAUGAUUAAUACUUUAUGCGUGACUUAUCCUUUUAAUUUUUUUCAUAAUUUUUUCAAAUAAGACGGACGGUCAAACGUUGGACAAGAAAACCCAGGGUUUGUCUUUUC
Oryza glaberrima (African rice) is the source of this 207-nucleotide non-coding RNA. The record is from Rfam. NCBI's taxonomy places the organism in Eukaryota, Viridiplantae, Streptophyta, Magnoliopsida, Poales, Poaceae.